This 1126-nucleotide long non-coding RNA is filed under the name Chrysolophus pictus (golden pheasant). Its description in RNAcentral is "lncRNA (ENSCPIG00010011973.1)". Lineage: Eukaryota; Metazoa; Chordata; Aves; Galliformes; Phasianidae. The record is from RNAcentral.
GUCAUGCCAUGACACGUGUGUUGUUGUGUCGUGUGUUCUGGUGUCAUGUAUGUCGCGAUGUUAUUUAUGUCUCCAUGUCAUACGUGUCCCUAUGUCAUACAUGUUCCUAUGUCACAUGUGUGUCCAUGUCAUGCCAUAUCACGUGUUCCCAUGUCACGUGCCCCCCCAUGUCACAUGUGUCCUUGUGUCAUGUGUUCCCAUGUCACAUCAUGUGUGUCCCUGUUACACGUGUCUCCAUGUCACGUCACAUCACGUGUGUCUCCAUGUCCCGUGUGUCCCUGUGCCGCGUGUCCCCGUGUCAUGUCAUGUCACGUGUGCCUGUGUCACGUGUUCCUAUGUCACGUGUGUCCCCCUUUCAUGUGUGUCGUUGUGUCGUGUCCCCAUGUCACGCGUGUCCCCACGUUGCACGUGUUACUUUGUCACGUAUGUUCCAUGUGAUAUCACGUGUGACCCCAUGUUACAUGUGUCUGUCAUACAGCAUCACGUGUGUUUUUGUGUCACAUGUUUUCAUCUCACGUGUGCUCUUGUGCCGUGUGUUCCCAUGUAGCGUCAUGUAUGUUCGCAUGUCACGUGUGUCCCCUUGUUGUGUUACGUUAUGCGUGUUUCCGUGUCACGUGUGCCCUCGUGUCACAUGUCCCCAUGUCACGCGUGUCGUUGUGUCACGUGUUCCCAUGUCACGUGUGUGCCCACGUUACUCGUGUCCCCGUGUCACGUGUCCCCAUGUCAUGUCACAUCACGUGUGUCCCCACGUCAUGCGUGUCUCGGUGUGACGUGUGUCCUUGCGUCACGCGUCCCCAUGUCACAUCACACGUGUGUCCACGUGUCACCCCCACGUGUCCCCGUUGUGUGCCCCAUGUCUGCAUGUCACAGCCGUGUCCCCGCAGUGGGCGGGGCCUGAGAGAAGGGGGCGUGGCUUAUGGGUAUUCACGAUGGGGGCGGGGCUUGUGGGUGGGCGUGGCCUAUUGGUGGGCGUGGCUUAUGGGAACAAUGAUGGCGGCGUGGCUUAAGGUGGGGGCGGGGUUUAAGGGAGCAAAGGUUAGGGGGCGUGGCUUUGCGGAAUGGGCGUGGCUUAUGGGAGUAAGCAUCACGUGGGCGUGGCUUAUGGAGGGGGCGGGGCUUAGGGGAG